This 83-nucleotide transfer RNA is filed under the name Chlorotetraedron incus. Its description in RNAcentral is "tRNA-Ser". It matches the Rfam family "tRNA". Rfam says of the family: Transfer RNA (tRNA) molecules are approximately 80 nucleotides in length. Their secondary structure includes four short double-helical elements and three loops (D, anti-codon, and T loops). Lineage: Eukaryota; Viridiplantae; Chlorophyta; Chlorophyceae; Sphaeropleales; Neochloridaceae. The record is from RNAcentral.
GGAAAGAUGGCAGAGUGGUCUAUUGCGCCAGUUUGGAAGACUGGUUCCUUUUAAGGAACGAGGGUUCAAAUCCCUCUCUUUCC